Molecule: unclassified non-coding RNA, 566 nt
Filed under: Hevea brasiliensis (rubber tree)
Lineage: Eukaryota; Viridiplantae; Streptophyta; Magnoliopsida; Malpighiales; Euphorbiaceae
Source: RNAcentral
GGCCAAUCAACCCAUCCAUGAACAACCACUCAAUAGAAAUGGCUUUCUUUCAAAUGGAAUUGGAAUGAAGCAAAGUAUAUCAACAAAGUAGUGCAUUGAUCCAAACAGUGUUUCUGGUGCCCUGUACCAUAAUGUCACCCGCCUGAACAAUGGAGUCUGUUGUUGGAAGUCAAAAAAAACAAGCUCAAAAGGGUCAACUAUAUGCUAGAAAUGGAGAAAUGAGGGAAAGGGGGGUUCUAUGUUCUCUGGUGAAAUCGUUUUUAAAUUCUAAGGGAAAUGGAGAAAAUUGGGGGAAAUUAGGGUAGGUUUAUUAGUCUACGUGGCAUGAGUGGAACUAUAUUGGCUUAUGUGGCAUGCCAUGUGGAUCCAAGUGGUGUUUAUCAAAUUCUGUUAAUGAGAAAGGAUUUUUGACCUUAUAGUUUGACGGGAAGGGUAUAUUUGAGCCGAAAUAUAGUUUAAGGGUAUAUUUGAGCUAUUUCGGAUAGUUCAAGGGUAUUUUUGACCCUUUUCCGUAUUUUUUAUUAUUUAAAUAAAAUAUGUAUUCCUGAUAAUUUUGAAUUGCAAAA